RNAcentral lists this small RNA (54 nucleotides) under Arabidopsis thaliana (thale cress). RNAcentral describes it as "ATSL158240". The record is from RNAcentral. Lineage: Eukaryota; Viridiplantae; Streptophyta; Magnoliopsida; Brassicales; Brassicaceae.
UUGUAAUAGUAUUCAUGUUGCGACUGACUUAUAGAUUUGUUUGAUGGCUUAUUU